This 497-nucleotide ribosomal RNA is filed under the name uncultured bacterium. RNAcentral's name for it is "partial 16S ribosomal RNA". It matches the Rfam family "Bacterial small subunit ribosomal RNA", at positions 28 to 507 of the family's 1533-position model. The record is from RNAcentral.
GACGAACGCUGGCGGUGUGCCUAAUACAUGCAAGUUGAGCGCUGAAGGUUGGUACUUGUACCAACUGGAUGAGCAGCGAACGGGUGAGUAACGCGUGGGGAAUCUGCCUUUGAGCGGGGGACAACAUUUGGAAACGAAUGCUAAUACCGCAUAAAAACUUUAAACACAAGUUUUAAGUUUGAAAGAUGCAAUUGCAUCACUCAAAGAUGAUCCCGCGUUGUAUUAGCUAGUUGGAGAGGUAAAGGCUCACCAAGGCGAUGAUACAUAGCCGACCUGAGAGGGUGAUCGGCCACAUUGGGACUGAGACACGGCCCAAACUCCUACGGGAGGCAGCAGUAGGGAAUCUUCGGCAAUGGACGAAAGUCUGACCGAGCAACGCCGCGUGAGUGAAGAAGGUUUUCGGAUCGUAAAACUCUGUUGGUAGAGAAGAACGUUGGUGAGAGUGGAAAGCUCAUCAAGUGACGGUAACUACCCAGAAAGGGACGGCUAACUACGUG